UGUUGAUGUUGAUUUCCACAUAAGAUAGACAAAUUAUGUGUAGCUGUGAUUAAAAGGUUGCGUGCUGGCUCCUACUCCCUUAUAUGAGAUGAAAA
RNAcentral lists this small nucleolar RNA (95 nucleotides) under Drosophila yakuba. Its description in RNAcentral is "snoRNA:GE27122". Lineage: Eukaryota; Metazoa; Arthropoda; Insecta; Diptera; Drosophilidae. The record is from RNAcentral.